RNAcentral lists this ribosomal RNA (117 nucleotides) under Paramormyrops kingsleyae. Lineage: Eukaryota; Metazoa; Chordata; Actinopteri; Osteoglossiformes; Mormyridae. The record is from RNAcentral.
GUUAGUGGCCAUACCACCUGUAGUUCAGACCAGGUAAUCCAUCUGAAGCCAAGCAGGUUUGGGCCUGGCCAGUACUUGGAUGGGAGACCCACUAGGAAAGCUGGGUUACUGCUGGAA